CAAAUUAUCAAAUACACUAUAUUCCAAAUGCAUAUCAUAGUAAGUAUCUAAUUCACAUCACAGUAUAUUAUAUAAAUAAGAUAAGAUCCAAAUCACAUCAUAAAUUUGAAUGAACGACAAAUCAUAUCAUAUAAUCAACCGUCUCAGCCAAAUCAUCCUCUAACUAGAAGUGACAAUAAAAUGGAACACUCACUCUGGAGUUUGACACGACAAUAGACAAGUUAAAAAGGCAAUAUUUAAAUAACUAAAGACCACAUGUGUUGUCCUGAUGAUUACAACAUAUGAUUCAGCAACUAUCUUUCCAUCACAAAAGGAUGGCCUUCAUGCACCGUCAGGUUUGGAAUGGGACUGCUAAGUUGCUUGCUGAGUUCCUUGAGCCUUUAAGAGAAAACCAAUCAGGUUAUCCAUCUCAUGUUGCUUCUUUUGCCAGGCUUCAUUCUUCUCUUGCUGUCUCUUCUUCACAGCUUGCAAUUCUCCAUGUUCCUUCCCCUACAUGUCUUCAAAUGUUGUCACUUGUGCUUCAAGCCUCGCGGCUAACUCCUCUCGAUGCCUAUAAAUUCAACAAACGCAACAUCGUUGUACCUUUGAUGAGAUGAAAACAGACAAGAUAACAAGGUACAAGAGUACCACUAAGAGGCUUACAAUCUAUCAAAUUAAUAAUAUGAAAUAAAGAGGUACAUUAUUAAAUGGCAAGGCAAGCACAUACAGAUGGGCAAAUGAAAGAGUAAACCCAAGAAUAUCUUAUAAUGGUUAAAAAAACAUGCAAACCAAUCAUUUAUUAUUUUAAAAAGCAGCAAGAAACACAAUUAAUAUAUCAAGUCAACAACCCAGGCAAGAAGAAAAUGGACCUUAAAAGAUCUAACAAUUUUACAUGUGAAAAUGUACUUUCCAGGAACUUAAAUGAAUAUAAUAAAGUAGAUAAGUGAGGACGCAAACACAGGACACACUAAUAUUGUACUCCCUCUGUCCGAAAAAACUUGUCCCAAACUUGUUCAUCAAAUGGAUGAAUCUAGCACUAACUUGAUGCUAGAUACAUCCAUUUGAGAGACAAGCUUUUUCAGGCGGAGGGAGUAUAUAACUAACUGUUUAAGUGAAAGCCAUUUUACAUGUCCAAAAUGUUCAGAACUAAAAACAACAAAAAAUACUAUUACUGUCGCUGUUGGCAUAGUUCCGAAAACCAAAAAGUUCACUAUACUCUUUCAAAAUUAAGGCUCAAUGGAUGGUGUUGUACGUUUGUAAAGUAGGAGCAGCUUGAGUUUACCAUGUAUCUGCUUUUAUCAAGUUCUGGGCGUACGAAAAUGCUUGUCGGCUUUAGACCCUUAACAUCAUGGGUAGCAAUCAGUUAGGAGCGGCAAGGCAAAUAUUAAGUGUAGUUCCCUUUUAUUUAGUAGUGGAGAUAAAAGUACACUGGCACAGGGCUAUACAUCUCCGUAAGGUGUCAAAAUCAAGUGCAAUCUCAGUGUUUAUUCAGUUUUGACAGCACUAGUUAGGGACUAUUUAUGGGGUAGCAGAACCACAAGCAGGCAGGAGAACCACAAGCAGGUAGGAGAAUCAGUUUCAAGUUUUAGCUAACCACAAGCAGGCAGUAGAAUCAGUUUAAGGUUUCAGGUUUUAACCACAAGCACUGUGGCCGUGUGGUGCCUGAGUUCAGUUAAAGGGGCAAUCUGUUACCGUGCGUGGGUAUGACUUGUAAAACUGGCUCUGAAUUCCUCUCCAAUACAACUCUGUAUCUCACCUUCUCUCUUUCGUCUACCUCACCUCGGUGCUUUUCUCCCCCAAAUCCCUUCAUUGUAUCCUGGUGACCCUAAUUAACGAGAAGGGCGGGAUGAUUAGUAUGCAUGAACCCUAAUCACUGAACAUUAAGGGCUUGAGGGAUGAGGAAGGCGGGAUGAGAAAAUUACUGAGAGCCAUUACCGGUUGCUGUAGUCGGUGGGGAAAGGCUCACGCGCGGGUUGAUGCGGUGGAUCUGAGCUCCGCUGGUGGGGCGGCCUCCUUCAAUCCGCUGUCGCCGGUCGCUGCAAAUCAGGGGGAGAAUAGAGCGGAGUGCUCGCGGGGUUGGUUGAUGUUGUGGAUCGGAGCUUGAACCGACGGGGCGGCCAGCCGGCGACCCCCAAUCUUCUUCAGGCCCUGAUCGCUGCAGUUGUGGGAUAGGAGAACAGAUUGAAUCUGGCGAAAAAAUGCCGGGGUGGGCGGUGGCUUUUAGCGGCGCCUCUUUGCUGGCGAAAUAGAAGAGUAAUUUUGGAUGGGUCUUUGACGGGUGGGGACACAGGGUGGAUGCAGAAAAGGAUUUAGAGAAGUGGGGGGA
This 2305-nucleotide long non-coding RNA is filed under the name Triticum aestivum (bread wheat). RNAcentral's name for it is "long non-coding RNA (TAES_LNC007081)". The stretch from base 952 to 1077 matches the Rfam family "MIR1120/MIR1122 microRNA precursor family". The record is from RNAcentral. Lineage: Eukaryota; Viridiplantae; Streptophyta; Magnoliopsida; Poales; Poaceae.